Molecule: unclassified non-coding RNA, 485 nt
Filed under: Hevea brasiliensis (rubber tree)
Lineage: Eukaryota; Viridiplantae; Streptophyta; Magnoliopsida; Malpighiales; Euphorbiaceae
Source: RNAcentral
AGUUUCCAUCUUCUUUCGUUACAAAAACAUGUUUGAAGCUAGGUAAUUAUAAUGCUAGUGGAUGCAUGUGAGUUUAUUUUAGCAUUUAAUUACUUUAUUUGGAGUUCUGUUUGAUAUAUUUUUAAUUUGCAAGAUACCAUAUUACCUCCUCUUUGUUUUUUUCUUAAAAAAAUUAUUUAAUUCUUGUUGGCAAAUGGUUUAGAAUAUGCAUAUUAUGUGCUUUUUCCAUUUAGAAGGAUGAACUGUAUCUGUGAGUUUUUAAUUAAAGUUAUUAAUUGAUGAUUCUUUUGGUUAGAGAAAUGUGAUUUUUUUUUCUCUCUCCAUUUGUUCAGGAAGAUGUAACAGUGUGAUUCUUCACUUGGAGACUUGAUUUGAGCAGGAGAUUCUAGCGUCUUCUCUGCUAAGCAUUUCUUCUUGGGUUUUGUUUGUGGUGUUAAGUAGUCUGUUAUAUUUGAGUGAUCAUGGGGUCAGCUUGCUGUAUUGCU